GAGACACUAAGGUAAUGAUGACCAAAAAAUUAAGGAUAAAAUGAUUUCCUGGUGGAAGAAGAAAGGAUUGAGGCAAGGACAUAAGGGACCUCACAGAUCAUACUCUUUCAUUUCUUGCACUAGAUCAGAAGCCUUCUGUAAUGAAAAUAUGGAAAGGGCUUCUGGUUUCUUUGAAAAAAAAUCAAUGAAAAUAUCAAGACAAGGCAUAAUGUCAAUUGGAAUUCUUGCAGCUGGCAAGUGUUUCUGUAAACUCUCUGUGGUAAGAACAGCCAACUGCCCUGGAAAUCUCCCUUUCCUAAUGAAAAGUUGUUGGAAGACAUGUCUGUCCUACCAGAGAUUACAUGUUCAUG
This is a long non-coding RNA of Zalophus californianus (California sea lion), 350 nucleotides long. RefSeq lists it as uncharacterized. Lineage: Eukaryota; Metazoa; Chordata; Mammalia; Carnivora; Otariidae. The record is from RefSeq and is a predicted model, not a curated record. The transcript is spliced from 3 exons.